CACGGCAGCACGGGAGCAAUCCUGGUGGCGAGUGGCGAACGGGUGAGUAAUAUAUCGGAACGUGCCCAGUCGUGGGGGAUAACGCAGCGAAAGCUGUGCUAAUACCGCAUACGAUCUCUGGAUGAAAGCGGGGGACUCGUAAGAGCCUCGCGCGAUUGGAGCGGCCGAUAUCAGAUUAGCUAGUUGGUGGGGUAAAGGCCCACCAAGGCGACGAUCUGUAGCUGGUCUGAGAGGACGACCAGCCACACUGGAACUGAGACACGGUCCAGACUCCUACGGGAGGCAGCAGUGGGGAAUUUUGGACAAUGGGCGCAAGCCUGAUCCAGCAAUGCCGCGUGCAGGAUGAAGGCCUUCGGGUUGUAAACUGCUUUUGUACGGAACGAAAAGGUUUGCCUUAAUACGGUGGGCCCAUGACGGUACCGUAAGAAUAAGCACCGGCUAACUACGUGCCAGCAGCCGCGGUAAUACGUAGGGUGCGAGCGUUAAUCGGAAUUACUGGGCGUAAAGCGUGCGCAGGCGGUUAUAUAAGACAGAUGUGAAAUCCCCGGGCUCAACCUGGGACCUGCAUUUGUGACUGUAUAGCUAGAG
RNAcentral lists this ribosomal RNA (588 nucleotides) under uncultured bacterium. RNAcentral describes it as "bacterial SSU rRNA". It matches the Rfam family "Bacterial small subunit ribosomal RNA", at positions 65 to 646 of the family's 1533-position model. The record is from RNAcentral.